AAUAGCUACUGAUGCUAUCGCUUUUUAUUAAGAGGAAAGUCCGGACACCAAAGAGUAGCAUAGCGGAUAACAUCCGUCCAGUGAAAACUGAGGACAAGUGCAACAGAAAGAAUGUACAGUUAGGCUGUAGUGAAAUCAUGUAAACUCUAUGCGGUGCAAUGCCAUGUAUACCAAGACUAAAGGAUUACUCGUCUUUCUUGGGGGGUGGGCAGCUUGAUGUAAGGGGUAACUUUUACACUAGAUAAAUGAUAGCACCUAUUUUUAGGAACAGAAUCCGGCUUACGUGUAGCUAUUGUUA
This 298-nucleotide RNase P RNA is filed under the name Flavobacteriales bacterium. RNAcentral describes it as "RNase P RNA component class A". It matches the Rfam family "Bacterial RNase P class A". From Rfam's summary of the family: Ribonuclease P (RNase P) is a ubiquitous endoribonuclease, found in archaea, bacteria and eukarya as well as chloroplasts and mitochondria. Its best characterised activity is the generation of mature 5'-ends of tRNAs by cleaving the 5'-leader elements of precursor-tRNAs. The record is from RNAcentral. Lineage: Bacteria; Pseudomonadati; Bacteroidota; Flavobacteriia; Flavobacteriales.